Elaeis guineensis (African oil palm) is the source of this 480-nucleotide non-coding RNA. Lineage: Eukaryota; Viridiplantae; Streptophyta; Magnoliopsida; Arecales; Arecaceae. The record is from RefSeq and is a predicted model, not a curated record.
GAUCGAAAGCAGCUCAAUACUACUAGAGUUCAAGACCUGAGAAUUCAAGUUCCAUUUGGUUCUCAUUAUGAGUAGACCGAUGCUUGCGAGACCGACUGCACUUAUCCGGGAGGUGAAACACAGGCGAUCAAUUCACACCAGCCUCAGCCAAGAGGUCGCACGUGGGAGAGAACGGAAGGAACCAGGGAAGGAGCGAUGCGGGAGGGUGGAUGAUUCGUCGUGGUGGGUCCCACAUCCAACGACCGGGAUUUAUUAUCCGAAAGGACAUGAAUGGGUGAUGGAGGAUGUUCCGCGAGGUGCUUCCUCCUUCGGACAAACGUAUUGGCUGAGAAGCUUCGAAGGUGUUGAGAAGCCGGCUUCGGAUCCUUCAACCGGCGAUAUCUUUGACCAUCCACUUCUUAAUGUGUGAACCUGCGUCCUCGUGACACACGAGUCCAUGCUCUGUACUAUCCUAUUACGAGAAUAAAAUGGUUUUCUGGA